UACGUAGGUGGCAAGCGUUGUCCGGAAUUAUUGGGCGUGAAGCGAGCGCAGGUGGUUUAUUAAGUCUGGUGUAAAAGGCAGUGGCUCAACCAUUGUAUGCAUUGGAAACUGGUAGACUUGAGUGCAGGAGAGGAGAGUGGAAUUCCAUGUGUAGCGGUGAAAUGCGUAGAUAUAAGGAGGAACACCGGUGGCGAAAGCGGCUCUCCGGCCUGUAACUGACACUGAGGCUCGAAAGCGUGGGGAGCAAACAGG
This 252-nucleotide ribosomal RNA is filed under the name uncultured bacterium. Its description in RNAcentral is "partial 16S ribosomal RNA". It matches the Rfam family "Bacterial small subunit ribosomal RNA", at positions 524 to 776 of the family's 1533-position model. The record is from RNAcentral.